This 2067-nucleotide ribosomal RNA is filed under the name Escherichia coli. Its description in RNAcentral is "partial 23S ribosomal RNA". It matches the Rfam family "Bacterial large subunit ribosomal RNA", at positions 525 to 2577 of the family's 2925-position model. Lineage: Bacteria; Pseudomonadati; Pseudomonadota; Gammaproteobacteria; Enterobacterales; Enterobacteriaceae. The record is from RNAcentral.
CCCGGCGAGGGGAGUGAAAAAGAACCUGAAACCGUGUACGUACAAGCAGUGGGAGCACGCUUAGGCGUGUGACUGCGUACCUUUUGUAUAAUGGGUCAGCGACUUAUAUUCUGUAGCAAGGUUAACCGAAUAGGGGAGCCGAAGGGAAACCGAGUCUUAACUGGGCGUUAAGUUGCAGGGUAUAGACCCGAAACCCGGUGAUCUAGCCAUGGGCAGGUUGAAGGUUGGGUAACACUAACUGGAGGACCGAACCGACUAAUGUUGAAAAAUUAGCGGAUGACUUGUGGCUGGGGGUGAAAGGCCAAUCAAACCGGGAGAUAGCUGGUUCUCCCCGAAAGCUAUUUAGGUAGCGCCUCGUGAAUUCAUCUCCGGGGGUAGAGCACUGUUUCGGCAAGGGGGUCAUCCCGACUUACCAACCCGAUGCAAACUGCGAAUACCGGAGAAUGUUAUCACGGGAGACACACGGCGGGUGCUAACGUCCGUCGUGAAGAGGGAAACAACCCAGACCGCCAGCUAAGGUCCCAAAGUCAUGGUUAAGUGGGAAACGAUGUGGGAAGGCCCAGACAGCCAGGAUGUUGGCUUAGAAGCAGCCAUCAUUUAAAGAAAGCGUAAUAGCUCACUGGUCGAGUCGGCCUGCGCGGAAGAUGUAACGGGGCUAAACCAUGCACCGAAGCUGCGGCAGCGACGCUGAUGCGUUGUUGGGUAGGGGAGCGUUCUGUAAGCCUGUGAAGGUGUGCUGUGAGGCAUGCUGGAGGUAUCAGAAGUGCGAAUGCUGACAUAAGUAACGAUAAAGCGGGUGAAAAGCCCGCUCGCCGGAAGACCAAGGGUUCCUGUCCAACGUUAAUCGGGGCAGGGUGAGUCGACCCCUAAGGCGAGGCCGAAAGGCGUAGUCGAUGGGAAACAGGUUAAUAUUCCUGUACUUGGUGUUACUGCGAAGGGGGGACGGAGAAGGCUAUGUUGGCCGGGCGACGGUUGUCCCGGUUUAAGCGUGUAGGCUGGUUUUCCAGGCAAAUCCGGAAAAUCAAGGCUGAGGCGUGAUGACGAGGCACUACGGUGCUGAAGCAACAAAUGCCCUGCUUCCAGGAAAAGCCUCUAAGCAUCAGGUAACAUCAAAUCGUACCCCAAACCGACACAGGUGGUCAGGUAGAGAAUACCAAGGCGCUUGAGAGAACUCGGGUGAAGGAACUAGGCAAAAUGGUGCCGUAACUUCGGGAGAAGGCACGCUGAUAUGUAGGUGAAGCGACUUGCUCGUGGAGCUGAAAUCAGUCGAAGAUACCAGCUGGCUGCAACUGUUUAUUAAAAACACAGCACUGUGCAAACACGAAAGUGGACGUAUACGGUGUGACGCCUGCCCGGUGCCGGAAGGUUAAUUGAUGGGGUCAGCGCAAGCGAAGCUCUUGAUCGAAGCCCCGGUAAACGGCGGCCGUAACUAUAACGGUCCUAAGGUAGCGAAAUUCCUUGUCGGGUAAGUUCCGACCUGCACGAAUGGCGUAAUGAUGGCCAGGCUGUCUCCACCCGAGACUCAGUGAAAUUGAACUCGCUGUGAAGAUGCAGUGUACCCGCGGCAAGACGGAAAGACCCCGUGAACCUUUACUAUAGCUUGACACUGAACAUUGAGCCUUGAUGUGUAGGAUAGGUGGGAGGCUUUGAAGUGUGGACGCCAGUCUGCAUGGAGCCGACCUUGAAAUACCACCCUUUAAUGUUUGAUGUUCUAACGUUGACCCGUAAUCCGGGUUGCGGACAGUGUCUGGUGGGUAGUUUGACUGGGGCGGUCUCCUCCUAAAGAGUAACGGAGGAGCACGAAGGUUGGCUAAUCCUGGUCGGACAUCAGGAGGUUAGUGCAAUGGCAUAAGCCAGCUUGACUGCGAGCGUGACGGCGCGAGCAGGUGCGAAAGCAGGUCAUAGUGAUCCGGUGGUUCUGAAUGGAAGGGCCAUCGCUCAACGGAUAAAAGGUACUCCGGGGAUAACAGGCUGAUACCGCCCAAGAGUUCAUAUCGACGGCGGUGUUUGGCACCUCGAUGUCGGCUCAUCACAUCCUGGGGCUGAAGUAGGUCCCAAGGGUAUGGC